UGCAUCAGAUUCUUACCGGAAUCUCUUAUUAUCACUCCAACAAUUUUGUCCAUGGAUGCUUAUCUCCUUACCAUGUGCUGAUAGAUAUUAAAGACAUUAGAUUGAAACUGGUUCAUGUUGGAAUGGUUGUUCGUCCCUCUGGCAAGGCACCGGAAAUUUUGGAGGGUUUAAGAAACUACUCCUUUCCUGCUGAUGUAUGGUCCAUUGGUUGUAUAUUUGCUGAAAUGGUCCUCCUCAAGCCUCUAUUUGGCAGUGCAGAUGAAGCUCAUGAAUCAGCCAAGAUUUCCAGGUGCUAGCUGCUUAUAAACAUAGCACACACCCACUAAUUUUCUGUAUAUUUACGUACUUAUUGUUCAAUCUCUUCUCUUAUACGAAGGUUAAUGGGUACCCAGAAUGAAGAAACCAUGCCUAAGGUGACUGCAGCACAUGAAUAUCUCCAUUGUUUUAGAAAAUCUUAAUCUAAUCCCCUACUUAUUUGUGAUGCCAUGCGAAUAUAAUGCAGGAUCUUUCACCAAUGUUCCGCAAUCACCUUGAACCCGCUGGUUUUGAUCUUCUUAUGAGAAUGCUACGUCUGAAUCCAAGCGAGAGAAUCACAGUUGAUGAAGCUCUGAGGCAUGAAUACUUCAGGAAUGUGUAUAUUCCAGACCCAGAAUGAUUUUACUGCAUAAACUAGCAAUGCUACCUCUGCUUUCACAAUUGCUUUCACUGGUUAAUGGAUUUUUGUAAUACAUUGAUUGAAUUUCUCAUAAUAUAAAUAUGUAGAAGAUAAUUUUCAA
Molecule: long non-coding RNA, 776 nt
Organism: Mangifera indica (mango)
Lineage: Eukaryota; Viridiplantae; Streptophyta; Magnoliopsida; Sapindales; Anacardiaceae
Exons: 3
Source: RefSeq, a predicted model, not a curated record